Molecule: ribosomal RNA, 395 nt
Filed under: uncultured bacterium
Lineage: Bacteria
Description: partial 16S ribosomal RNA
Rfam family: Bacterial small subunit ribosomal RNA
Source: RNAcentral
AUACGUAGGGUGCAAGCGUUAAUCGGAAUUACUGGGCGUAAAGCGUGCGCAGGCGGUUUUGUAAGACAGUGGUGAAAUCCCCGGGCUCAACCUGGGAACUGCCAUUGUGACUGCAAGGCUGGAGUGCGGCAGAGGGGGAUGGAAUUCCGCGUGUAGCAGUGAAAUGCGUAGAUAUGCGGAGGAACACCGAUGGCGAAGGCAAUCCCCUGGGCCUGCACUGACGCUCAUGCACGAAAGCGUGGGGAGCAAACAGGAUUAGAUACCCCGGUAGUCCACGCCCUAAACGAUGUCAACUGGUUGUUGGGGAUUUAUUUUCUCAGUAACGAAGCUAACGCGUGAAGUUGACCGCCUGGGGAGUACGGCCGCAAGGUUAAAACUCAAAUGAAUUGACGGGG